This 315-nucleotide ribosomal RNA is filed under the name Clostridioides difficile. RNAcentral's name for it is "bacterial SSU rRNA". It matches the Rfam family "Bacterial small subunit ribosomal RNA", at positions 1070 to 1386 of the family's 1533-position model. Lineage: Bacteria; Bacillati; Bacillota; Clostridia; Peptostreptococcales; Peptostreptococcaceae. The record is from RNAcentral.
AGAUGUUGGGUUAAGUCCCGCAACGAGCGCAACCCUUGUCUUUAGUUGCCAUCAUUAAGUUGGGCACUCUAGAGAGACUGCCAGGGAUAACCUGGAGGAAGGUGGGGAUGACGUCAAAUCAUCAUGCCCCUUAUGCUUAGGGCUACACACGUGCUACAAUGGGUAGUACAGAGGGUUGCCAAGCCGUAAGGUGGAGCUAAUCCCUUAAAGCUACUCUCAGUUCGGAUUGUAGGCUGAAACUCGCCUACAUGAAGCUGGAGUUACUAGUAAUCGCAGAUCAGAAUGCUGCGGUGAAUGCGUUCCCGGGUCUUGUAC